UUAGAAACAUCUUACCCGGUAGUCUUGC
This 28-nucleotide small RNA is filed under the name Bombyx mori (domestic silkworm). Its description in RNAcentral is "ovarian small RNA-9393". Lineage: Eukaryota; Metazoa; Arthropoda; Insecta; Lepidoptera; Bombycidae. The record is from RNAcentral.